AUUGAACGCUGGCGGUAGGCUUAACACAUGCAAGUCGUGCGAGAAAGUAUCUUCGGAUAUGAGUAGAGCGGCGGACGGGUGAGUAACGCGUAGGAAUCUACCUAGUAGAAGGGGAUAGCCCGGGGAAACUCGGAUUAAUACCGUAUACCUCCUUCGGGAGAAAGAAGGCCUCUCUUUGAAGCUUUCGCUAUUAGAUGAGCCUGCGUAAGAUUAGCUUGUUGGUGAGGUAAAGGCUCACCAAGGCAACGAUCUUUAGCGGGUCUGAGGGGACGAUCCGCCACAUUGGGACUGAGACACGGCCCAGACUCCUACGGGAGGCAGCAGUGGGGAAUAUUGGACAAUGGGCGCAAGCCUGAUCCAGCCAUACCGCGUGUGUGAAGAAGGCCCUAGGGUUGUAAAGCACUUUAAGUUGGGAAGAAAAGUUAUUGGUUAAUACCCAAUAACCGUGACAUUACCAUCAGAAUAAGGACCGGCUAAUUCCGUGCCAGCAGCCGCGGUAAUACGGAAGGUCCAAGCGUUAAUCGGAAUUACUGGGCGUAAAGCGCGCGUAGGUGGUUUAUUAAGUUGGAUGUGAAAUCCCCGGGCUCAACCUGGGAACUGCAUCCAAAACUGAUUCACUAGAGUACGAUAGAGGGAGGUAGAAUUCACAGUGUAGCGGUGGAAUGCGUAGAUAUUGUGAAGAAUACCAAUGGCGAAGGCAGCCUCCUGGAUCUGUACUGACACUGAGGUGCGAAAGCGUGGGUAGCGAACAGGAUUAGAUACCCUGGUAGUCCACGCCGUAAACGAUGUCAACUAGCUGUUGGAAAACUAUGUUUUUCAGUGGCGCAGCUAACGUAGUAAGUUGACCGCCUGGGGAGUACGGCCGCAAGGCUAAAACUCAAAUGAAUUGACGGGGACCCGCACAAGCGGUGGAGCAUGUGGUUUAAUUCGAUGCAACGCGAAAAACCUUACCUAUACUUGACAUACUUGGAAUGCUUUGUAAUGAAGCAGUGCCUUCGGGAGCCAAGAUACAGGUGCUGCAUGGCUGUCGUCAGCUCGUGUCGUGAGAUGUUCCGUUAAGUCGGAUAACGAGCGCAACCCUUACCCUUAUUUGCCAGCGAUUCGGUCGGGAACUAUAAGGGGACUGCCGGUGAUAAACCGGAGGAAGGUGAGGACGACGUCAAGUCAUCAUGGCCCUUACGUAUAGGGCUACACACGUGCUACAAUGGAGAAUACAGACGGACGCUAAGCCGCGAGGUGGUGCUAAUCCUAGAAAAUUCUUCGUAGUCCGGAUUGGAGUCUGCAACUCGACUCCAUGAAGUCGGAAUCGCUAGUAAUCGCGAAUCAGCAUGUCGCGGUGAAUACGUUCUCGGGUCU
Molecule: ribosomal RNA, 1356 nt
Filed under: uncultured bacterium
Lineage: Bacteria
Description: bacterial SSU rRNA
Rfam family: Bacterial small subunit ribosomal RNA
Source: RNAcentral